CAUGCCUCACUUGUGGAUGCAGAAGGCAACAGGAUAUCCAAACACAUGCCCACAUAUUCUCCUACGUAGAUAAACAUCAUCACUAUGUAACACAUUCUAACACUUGUUCUUUACAAUUAUCAACAUUAUAUAUGGCUCAGAAUCGACAACAUAAACUACCAAAUCAGACCUGUUACUGAUUUGAAAGUUUCUAGCAUCAACAUCAACAAAAAGAAGAGCUAUGUUGAAGCAAGGUACACCUGAAACACCAAAUUUAUGAAUAAUUGAUAAAUAAAUAAGUUGAUGAUUGAACCAAUCUUAACAGUGUCAAAUAAGGAAACCCUCAACUACUAUCAAAGAUAUCUUUUUCAAAAUAAAAUGAAAACCACCUACAACAUUAAAUAACUAUGGCAAAAUGUCACUACCUAUAAACUUACUUUUAACAACUAUUGUAUUUCAAGUUUUAUUUUGAAAGAACUUCAGAGAAAACUUAUUCUAGCGACACUUUUACUCCAAUUUUUAUUUUGAAAAGCCAAUAUUGCAUAGUUUUAUAUUAACUCCCAUGCAGAACAUGGGUGAAAUACUAGCUAUAUUACGAGACUUUCUGCUAACUUUUCUAUUUCUUUUUAAAGCAUACUAAUCAGAGUGGAGGUACUGCUGCACCUUAACCACCUAGCACCUAUGUUGCUUUGACUCUUCAAAAAUGCCAACCGGUCUGUGUUUUUGAAGGAUCAACCACCGGUGCCAUAACAUUUUUGGAGAGUCCGAGCAACAUAGCCUAGCACAAGUAACUGUUUCUUGCAGAGAGGAGCUGUCACAUGCAAAUAAUAAGAAAUGGCAAGUGAUUCCGCCACCAAUGAAAUGAUCCAUUAGAAGUUAAGCAACAAUAAAAUUCAUAGUCACAUACCUGGUUGACUUUAUUAGGAGUGAUGUACUUCCAAAAUUUGUAGGACCAAUAAAAAGUGUCAAAGAGUCGGUUUCCUCAAAUGUGAUCCUCCCAUGAUUUCCCGUUUCAGUCAUUCCAUGGUCACUUACUACCAACUGCAGAUGUGUGCAAUAUAUACAAGACAAGGGAUUAUUAAAGUCAGAAUAUUGAGAUAUUUGUUUGUUGAGUAAUCAAAAGAUAUCAUCACAUACUUUUUUGACCCUCAACCAUACUGGGGAAAAGUAAUUCAAGCAAAAUAUGGAGAGGAGAACAAG
This 1179-nucleotide long non-coding RNA is filed under the name Solanum tuberosum (potato). Its description in RNAcentral is "long non-coding RNA (STUB_LNC010649)". Lineage: Eukaryota; Viridiplantae; Streptophyta; Magnoliopsida; Solanales; Solanaceae. The record is from RNAcentral.